GAUGAACGCUGGCGGCGUGCCUAAUACAUGCAAGUCGAGCGAACAGGCGAGGAGCUUGCUCCUCUGACGUUAGCGGCGGACGGGUGAGUAACACGUGGAUAACCUACCUAUAAGACUGGGAUAACUUCGGGAAACCGGAGCUAAUACCGGAUAAUAUAUUGAACCGCAUGGUUCAAUAGUGAAGGACGGUUUUGCUGUCACUUAUAGAUGGAUCCGCGCCGCAUUAGCUAGUUGGUAAGGUAACGGCUUACCAAGGCAACGAUGCGUAGCCGACCUGAGAGGGGGAUCGGCCACACGGGAACGGAGACAGGGGCCAGACCCCUAGGGGAGGCAGCAGUGGGGAAUCUUCCGCAAGGGGGGAAAGCCUGACGGAGCAACCCCGGGUGAGUGAUGAAGGCUUUGGGAUCGUAAACCUCUGUUUUGAGGGAAAAAAAAAUGUGAAAGUAACUAUGCACGUCUUGACGGUACCAAACCAAAAAGCCCCGGCUAACUACGU
Molecule: ribosomal RNA, 496 nt
Filed under: uncultured bacterium
Lineage: Bacteria
Description: partial 16S ribosomal RNA
Rfam family: Bacterial small subunit ribosomal RNA
Source: RNAcentral